RNAcentral lists this long non-coding RNA (627 nucleotides) under Zalophus californianus (California sea lion). RNAcentral describes it as "lncRNA (ENSZCAG00015015698.1)". Lineage: Eukaryota; Metazoa; Chordata; Mammalia; Carnivora; Otariidae. The record is from RNAcentral.
GAGUACAUGAGAGUGGGGAGGGUUAGAGAGAGAAAUAGGCCCCUCGCCGAGCAGGGACCCGAUGCGGGACUCAAAGCCGGGACUCCAGGAUCAUGACCCAAGCCAAAGGCAGUCGCUUAACCAACUGAACCACCCAGAAGCCCGGGACCCGCAUGCUUUUAAAUACAAUCCAGCCUCUCGGUGCGACAGCCAACACUUCCACCCUAGGAAGGCGACGGGGUGUCCUGGGAAUUCUGGGAAGUGUAGUCCGGGAACACAGCGCCGCAGGAUAACUUCCGCUGUAGGAGGCCGAGGCUGCGUCCCUGCUCCCGUCGGGAAUUCUGGGAAGCGUAGUCCAAGAGCUCACUGUCGGCAGAGUCGCUUCCGCUCCAGGUACGCGAGGCCGCGGCCUUCAUUACUCUGCGAAAGGAUCAGAGUAAGUUCCUUAGGAGCAGAGAGGUCUGUGAGGAGUGCUGAAUAUCACUGUGCAGACUGUCCCAUGCAUGAGGGCAUCCUGCCAGGAUAACCUCAUGGUAGCUGGAAUCCAGCCCACACCCGGCCUGCCAAGGUGUGUGUGGCAGCAUCUGCUGGGGCAAGGGACACCUUUGUCAAUUUUACACAAAGAUACAUUUCCCUUUUUCUCAUGGC